GAUGAACGCUGGCGGCGUGCCUAAUACAUGCAAGUCGAGCGAACAGACGAGGAGCUUGCUCCUCUGACGUUAGCGGCGGACGGGUGAGUAACACGUGGAUAACCUACCUAUAAGACUGGGAUAACUUCGGGAAACCGGAGCUAAUACCGGAUAAUAUAUUGGACCGCAUGGUUCAAUAGUGAAAGACGGUUUUGCUGUCACUUAUAGAUGGAUCCGCGCCGCAUUAGCUAGUUGGUAAGGUAACGGCUUACCAAGGCGACGAUGCGUAGCCGACCUGAGAGGGUGAUCGGCCACACUGGAACUGAGACACGGUCCAGACUCCUACGGGAGGCAGCAGUAGGGAAUCUUCCGCAAUGGGCGAAAGCCUGACGGAGCAACGCCGCGUGAGUGAUGAAGGUCUUCGGAUCGUAAAACUCUGUUAUUAGGGAAGAACAAAUGUGUAAGUAACUACGCACGUCUUGACGGUACCUAAUCAGAAAGCCACGGCUAACUACGUG
Molecule: ribosomal RNA, 497 nt
Filed under: uncultured bacterium
Lineage: Bacteria
Description: partial 16S ribosomal RNA
Rfam family: Bacterial small subunit ribosomal RNA
Source: RNAcentral